RNAcentral lists this long non-coding RNA (1032 nucleotides) under Camelus dromedarius (Arabian camel). RNAcentral's name for it is "lncRNA (ENSCDRG00005002248.1)". The record is from RNAcentral. Lineage: Eukaryota; Metazoa; Chordata; Mammalia; Artiodactyla; Camelidae.
AUGAGAAGACUCUCCCAAACAAAAGUCAACGGAUCGGUCCCCAUUCUGCUUUACCUUUGCAACAUCUCUAGCUCCCUACAGGGCGGUGAAGGGAAAAAAGGGGUAAAGGAAAUUUGGACAAAUUCUAAAAUGCCACUCGAUAUCAUGAUUCAACCAAAUCCACGUACGUGGGAAAGCCCCUCAGGUACCUACAGCCCCCAGGAACAACGCGUGUGCAGGUGCACACGCACACGCACACGCACACCCUCCACGCAGAAGAACAAGCGCUCAUCCCUGCCCGUACGGAGAUGGGCUGCGGUGGGAAAGGCCUCCUCAUGCAGGAAGGAGGUGCUAACUUUACAGUUACUGUCCUGUAUCAAGAACGCUCAAUUUGACAAAACCGGUUCCCCUGGAAGAAGCGGAGGAAAACAUGACAGCUUCCCCUCCGACUUCUCUUCAGCUAAAAUACAACCCUGCAGAGCAGCGAGCGCGGCAAGGCCGAGGACCAGACGAAACGCAUCCAAGGGACGGAGAGGGAGCGGACCCGAGCUCCCCAAGGCGGGCCGCUUCCCACCCUCAGAGGCGGCCGCUCGCCACCGAGGUCGCGGUGAGAGACCCACCCGACGACGGCGCACGCCGCGCUCCGGUCUGCGUUCGGAAACCUCGGACCGGCUCGCGGGCCCGGGCGUGGAACCCCCGACACAGGACGCGGGAAAGCAACGAGCCCCAGCCACGCCGAGUUCCAACCGCCGCGGGAGCCGUUGGGGACGCGCCUCCUCGGCCGCAGCCCCGCCCCCGGCGCAGGCCGUGCGUGGAGCGCGCCGGGCACGGGGCCUGUCGGGACUUGAGGUCCGCGAGCGCGGCCCAGCCUCUCCCCCAGAACUACACUUCCCACAGUCACCGCCGCGACGCCCACUGGUGGGAGGGGAGCCGGGGCGCCGAGGCCGAUGGGGUGCCAAGUGGGCGGUGCUGACGCCGGGCCUGCGGGAGCCGAGGUCCGGGAGGGUGUGCACGCGGACGGCGGGCUCCGCCCUCAGCCCCCACCCUCGGUAG